RNAcentral lists this ribosomal RNA (494 nucleotides) under uncultured bacterium. RNAcentral describes it as "partial 16S ribosomal RNA". It matches the Rfam family "Bacterial small subunit ribosomal RNA", at positions 28 to 507 of the family's 1533-position model. The record is from RNAcentral.
GACGAACGCUGGCGGCGUGCUUAACACAUGCAAGUCGAACGGUGAAGCGCCUUCCUUUUUGGUGGGUGUGGAUGAGUGGCGAACGGGUGAGUAACACGUGAGUAACCUGCCCCCUUCUUCUGGAUAACCGCAUGAAAGUGUGGCUAAUACGGGAUAUUCUGGGUCUGUCGCAUGAUGGGUCUGGGAAAGAUAUUGUUUCGGUGGGGGAUGGGCUCGCGGCCUAUCAGCUUGUUGGUGGGGUGAUGGCCUACCAAGGCGGUGACGGGUAGCCGGCCUGAGAGGGUGGACGGUCACACUGGGACUGAGACACGGCCCAGACUCCUACGGGAGGCAGAAGUGGGGAAUAUUGCACAAUGGGCGCAAGCCUGAUGCAGCGACGCCGCGUGAGGGAUGGAGGCCUUCGGGUUGUGAACCUCUUUCGCCAGUGAAGCAGGCCUGCCUAGUUUGUGGGUGGGUUGACGGUAGCUGGAUAAGAAGCGCCGGCUAACUACGUG